This 402-nucleotide ribosomal RNA is filed under the name uncultured Brevundimonas sp. RNAcentral describes it as "bacterial SSU rRNA". It matches the Rfam family "Bacterial small subunit ribosomal RNA", at positions 355 to 774 of the family's 1533-position model. Lineage: Bacteria; Pseudomonadati; Pseudomonadota; Alphaproteobacteria; Caulobacterales; Caulobacteraceae. The record is from RNAcentral.
UGGGGAAUCUUGCGCAAUGGGCGAAAGCCUGACGCAGCCAUGCCGCGUGUAUGAUGAAGGUCUUAGGAUUGUAAAAUACUUUCCCCGGUGAAGAUAAUGACUGUAGCCGGAGAAGAAGCCUCGGCUAACUUCGUGCCAGCAGCCGCGGUAAUACGAAGGGGGCUAGCGUUGCUCGGAAUUACUGGGCGUAAAGGGAGCGUAGGCGGACAUUUAAGUCAGAGGUGAAAUCCCGGAGCUUAACUUCGGAACUGCCUUUGAUACUGGAUGUCUUGAGUGUGAGAGAGGUAUGUGGAACUCCGAGUGUAGAGGUGAAAUUCGUAGAUAUUCGGAAGAACACCAGUGGCGAAGGCGACAUACUGGCUCAUUACUGACGCUGAGGCUCGAAAGCGUGGGGAGCAAACA